RNAcentral lists this small RNA (463 nucleotides) under Drosophila yakuba. Its description in RNAcentral is "GE29215". The record is from RNAcentral. Lineage: Eukaryota; Metazoa; Arthropoda; Insecta; Diptera; Drosophilidae.
AGUAACCUUAGCAGAACCGAUCAUCCGUAGCAGACUUCCAAGUAUAUUAAAAGGUUUUCGUCUGCUGCCAUUGCUCCAUAUAGUUCUAUAUAGUUUAAGCAAUGCACAUCUUGAAACUGGCAUUAAUCUGCUUCUGGUUUGGUUUUGCCGAAAGUUGUCAGACGUUCUGCUCACGAAACUUUCGGCCUGUUUGUGGUUUCGAUGGACAGUGUCAUACGGAAGCCGUGAAUGCCUGCCAAAUGAAAAAUAUAAAUUGCCAAAGAGCUGAUAAUAAAAAACCAGUUUUUAAAAUUGUGAGGAGAGGAGCGUGUCAAAGAUAUUUUACAUUCUGUAAAAUGUUACCCGAAGAUUGAACAUAACCCGUUUUUACGUCCGGUAGAAUGUCGAAUUGGGAGUGAUAUGAAAUCUUAUAUGAAAUUUUACUUUGAUACAAAAUAUAUGUUUGAAUAUAUUUCGAUCCAAA